UUUGAUGGCGACCGGCGCACGGGUGAGUAACACGUAUCCAACCUNCCGAUGACUCGGGGAUAGCCUUUCGAAAGAAAGAUUAAUACCCGAUGGCAUAGUUCUUCCGCAUGGUGGAACUAUUAAAGAAUUUCGGUCAUCGAUGGGGAUGCGUUCCAUUAGGUUGUUGGCGGGGUAACGGCCCACCAAGCCUUCGAUGGAUAGGGGUUCUGAGAGGAAGGUCCCCCACAUUGGAACUGAGACACGGUCCAAACUCCUACGGGAGGCAGCAUG
RNAcentral lists this ribosomal RNA (270 nucleotides) under uncultured bacterium. RNAcentral's name for it is "partial 16S ribosomal RNA". It matches the Rfam family "Bacterial small subunit ribosomal RNA", at positions 84 to 353 of the family's 1533-position model. The record is from RNAcentral.